Molecule: non-coding RNA, 669 nt
Organism: Mandrillus leucophaeus (drill)
Lineage: Eukaryota; Metazoa; Chordata; Mammalia; Primates; Cercopithecidae
Source: the annotation of a RefSeq genome assembly
AUCUGUGGGGACUUGUUCUUCAGUGAAAGGAUCCUGUCCAUGAAUAGCAGUGGAGCAGGGCAUGCAUUUUCUCAAGCAGCAUUAGGGCUUGGACCAUCAGCAUCCCACUCCUGUGUGGCAGAUGGGUCAUCUAUCUUCUCUUUCUCAUCCUUGAUCAGGCUUUGAAGUAUGAAAUAAUCUGUCUCAUGAAUAUGCAAAUAACCUUAGCUCUACUGAGGUAAAUAUGGAUAUAUCUGGGCCCUGAAAGCAUUGCCCAAUAGCCUCAUCCCUUCUCUACAGAAGCCCCUGAGAGAAAAGCUCUUCACCAUGGACUGGACCUGGAGGGUCUUCUGCUUGCUGGCAGUAGCUCCAGGUGCCCACUCCCAGGAACAGCUGGUGCAGUCUGGGGCUGAGGUGAAGAAGCCUGGGGCCUCAGUGAAGGUCUCCUGCAAAGCUUCUGGAUACAUUUUCACCGGUUAUAUUAUCAGCUGGCUGCGACAGGCCCCUGGACAAGGGUUUGAGUGGAUGGGAGGAAUCCACCCUGGUUAUGGUAGCACAAGCUACGCACAGAAGUUCCAGGGCAGAGUCACCAUGACCGGGGACACGUCCACAAGCACAGUCUACAUGGAACUGAGCAGUCUGAGAUCUGAGGACACGGCCAUGUAUUACUGUGCGGCAGACACAGUGUGA